AUGGUCGCCGCCUCCUCCUCCUUCCCUCGUGCUCGUGGCGCCAGAGCAGGGAGCCCUCAGCCAUCGCUGCAAAGACGCGGGGUGCAUGCUGUUGUGGCAGGAGUUGCAACCGGUGAUGAAAAUUGCUGCUACCGGCUAUGCGGAGAUGGCCGGCGGCAACUACUGGUGUUACAACCAGCAGCUGAUGGGGAGGGAGACGGCGACCUUUUGGUGAUGCAACCGAUUUUUUUGCUGGAUCCGACGAGAUUUUUUGUUGCUACCGGCGGCGGCGAUGGAUGUUUUGCUGGAACCAUUGAUCUUUUUUGCCGGGACUAG
RNAcentral lists this ribosomal RNA (315 nucleotides) under Triticum aestivum (bread wheat). Its description in RNAcentral is "partial small subunit ribosomal RNA". The record is from RNAcentral. Lineage: Eukaryota; Viridiplantae; Streptophyta; Magnoliopsida; Poales; Poaceae.